GUAAAGGUCGGUCCGCCUACUCGGUGUGCACCUGCCCUUCCGUUCCUUUUGUCGGCGGCGUGCUCCUGGCCUUAAUUGGCUGGGUCGCGGCUCCGGCGCUGUUACUUUGAAAAAAUUAGAGUGCUCAAAGCAAGCUUAUGCUCUGAAUACAUUAGCAUGGAAUAACGUGAUAGGAGUUUGGUCCUAUUGUGUUGGCCUUCGGGACCGGAGUAAUGAUUAAUAGGGACUGUCGGGGGCAUUCGUAUUUCAUUGUCAGAGGUGAAAUUCUUGGAUUUAUGAAAGACGGACCCAUGCGAAAGCAUUUGCCAAGGAUGUUUUCAUUAAUCAAGAACGAAAGUUGGGGGCUCGAAGACGAUCAGAUACCGUCCUCGUCUCAACCAUAAACGAUGCCGACCAGGGAUCGGCGGAUGUUGCUCUAAGGACUCCGCCAGCACCUUCUGAGAAAUCAGAGUGUUUGGGUUCCGGGGGGAGUAUGGUCGCAAGGCUGAAACUUAAAGGAAUUGACGGAAGGGCACCACCAGGAGUGGAGCCUGCGGCUUAAUUUGACUCAACACGGGGAGACUUACCAAGUCCAGACAUAGUAAGGAUUGACAGAUUGAGAGCUCUUUCUUGAUUCUAUGGGUGGUGGUGCAUGGCCGUUCUUAGUUGGUGGAGCGAUUUGUCUGGUUAAUUCCGAUAAUGAACGAGACCUCAGCCUGCUAACUAGCUACACGGAGGUUCCCCUUCGCGGCCAGCUUCUUAGAGGGACUAUGGCCGUUUAGGCCAUGGAAGUUUGAGGCAAUAACAGGUCUGUGAUGCCCUUAGAUGUUCUGGGCCGCACACGCACUACACUGAUGCAACAAACGAACUUUUCUUCCUGGUUCGAGAGGAUCGGGAAAUAUUCUCAAAUUGCAUCGUGAUGGGGAUAGACCAUUCCAAUUAUUGGUCUUCAACGAGGAAUUCCUAGUAAGCGUGUGUCAUCAACUCGUGUUGACUACGUCCCUGCCCUUUGUACACAUCGCUCGUCCCUCCUACCGAUUGAAUGAUCUGGUGAGGUGUUCGAAUUGUGUCGACGAUGGUGGUUCGCCGCCAUCGACGUCGUGAGAAGUUCAUUGAACCUUAUCAUUUAGAGGAAGGAGAAGUCGUAACAAGGUUACCGUAGGUGAACUUGCGGUAG
This 1156-nucleotide ribosomal RNA is filed under the name Pinus taeda (loblolly pine). Its description in RNAcentral is "SSU rRNA". It matches the Rfam family "Eukaryotic small subunit ribosomal RNA", at positions 648 to 1823 of the family's 1831-position model. Lineage: Eukaryota; Viridiplantae; Streptophyta; Pinopsida; Pinales; Pinaceae. The record is from RNAcentral.